RNAcentral lists this ribosomal RNA (403 nucleotides) under uncultured bacterium. RNAcentral describes it as "bacterial SSU rRNA". It matches the Rfam family "Bacterial small subunit ribosomal RNA", at positions 356 to 773 of the family's 1533-position model. The record is from RNAcentral.
GAGGAAUAUUGCACAAUGGGCGCAAGCCUGAUGCAGCAACGCCGCGUGAGGGACGAAGGCCUUCGGGUUGUAAACCUCUUUUCUGAGGGAAGAGAAUGAGGACGGUACCUCAGGAAUAAGUCUCGGCUAACUACGUGCCAGCAGCCGCGGUAAAACGUAGGAGGCGAGCGUUAUCCGGAAUUACUGGGCGUAAAGGGCAUGCAGGCGGCUUGGUAAGUUGGACGUGAAAGCUCCUGGCUUAACUGGGAGAGUGCGUUCGAAACUGCUGAGCUUGAGGCUGGGAGAGGGGUGUGGAAUUCCCGGUGUAGUGGUGGAAUGCGUAGAUAUCGGGAGGAACACCAGUGGCGGAAGCGGCACCCUGGACCAGGCCUGACGCUGAUAUGCGAAAGCGUGGGGAGCAAAC